ACCAUUUAACUUGGAAAGGUUUAGACUGCCCUAAGAGCACAGCAGCGAAACAGUGUGCUCUGGUGCUCGGAUGACCUUUUCUGUUUAAGGCUUAAUCUCUGACAAAUGCUUGCUUUAAUUAGCCUGAUACCCCCUACACAGACCCCCAUCCUUCCCAGCCCCUCUUUUUCUUUCUGUUUCUGUCUCACACACAGUCUGCACUGGCCUCUGGUUGUCCAGUGCUUUAAAUUUCCCACCCAAUUUAGCUAUUAGUAAAUUGUCAAUUUCAAAUAAAAUAAAUCAACUUCAGCUAAAAAUUUGAAGAAUGAAAAUGAAAGUUUAUAAAACCUGCUGAAUUUUUGUCAUCUUUCAGCAGAGACAUCAAGGACGUUAAAAUACAUCUGAAUUUGUUGUCAGUCUGUACAGUUACCAGCUUUUUACAAGAAAGAAAAUAGCAAAGACAGAUUUGAAUUGUUCCAAGCCACCCUUGGAGGUUUGAAACAACAUGUGAUAUGAACCAGCUCACUUUUUGAUCAGCCUUGAGACAGAGAAUGGAAGAGAAGUGUGUUUAGGUGCAUGCAAUUGAAAAAAAAAAUUCCUGGGGUUCUUACAAACGCAUUAAAAGCCUCCAUAGUUUGUACAUGAGCUGCUCUAAAUAGAUUUAAGGAAUAAAUCAUUGAAAAAUAAUUUAAUGAACAGAAUCCACAAAAUAAAAGAAAGUUGCUGCAGAUCUUUUUCAGAUUUCAAAUUUGAAAGAGAAAAGAGCUUUUAACAGAUUUUGCUGAUUUCUCUCCACAGUUCAAAUUUUAUCCUCUCAACGUUUCAUCCAGAUACUGCAGCCCAUCAUGAAUCUCUCUCACUGCAGCAGCAAACACAAGAAACAGGGAUGCAAAGCUACAAAUCCAUGUUUUAUUGGAAAGGGGCCUAAUUAUUAGGAUGUAAGUCAGGCUGUGACUUGAGGGCCGUCUCCAUUCGCAGGCCUGCUUUAUAUUUAUCCCCUCGUCUGCAGCUUCAGCAGCAGUGCCACCAUCACUACCAGCAGAGUGUGGCGCUUUUAUUACAUCGCCCACAGGCAGGUUCAGCCCUUUCAGUCACACAUACACACACACACACACACACAGCCUCCAGGACAGGCAGCCACUUGAGUCCCCUCCACAGCAGUUACCCCACAUCCCCACGCAGCCCCACAUGGGCCCUUGGGACUGCAGAGGGAGGUUGCGGGUAUUAUGGUAAUACCAGAGCCUGCUGCUCCCUUCCCCUCUUCAGCUGCACAGCUGGGAAGGGCCAUCAUUACAGUAUUGUAGCACUCUGUUUAAGAGAGACACAUUGGAGUGGUCGGGUGACAGAGAGAGGAUGAGUGCUGCAUACAUAGAUCACAUAAAAUAUGAUUAAAAUGUGUGAUGGGGGCAGGAAUAAAAUGCAAAACUUGUUAUGAACACCUUAUAUCAAGUCUACUGUCAAAAUGGUGAGUUGUAAAUCUUUAUUUUCGCCAUUUUACUUUUUUUUAUUUUAUCAAAGGUUCCUUGUGUUGGGUUGGCAAUAUCUCAAGAAAGGGAGGCCCAUGGCUCAUAAGGAAUAAAUACCACAUAAAGUAUGUGAAUCUCUAAUGCCUCAUAAUGCUUCGCAAAUCAGUGGUGCAGUUUGUCAAGUUGGAAAUCUGUCAGAGAGAGAGAGAAAUCACGUCAUCUUUUGACACGUGACAGCACUGAUUUGAUGGUCAAAAUGCCACCUUUUUAUGAAAAAAAUAAUAUUUAUGCCACAGAUUUAGCCCACACUGUAGUCGUUAACUCCACACAUGUUUUUAAUGGGACUUUAAUUACAACACGUUAAUGACAUCAAGAAUAAUCCAAAUAAACGGCCCUCUUCUCUAUUAUGGUGGAUUAGAUCUUUGACAGAUUAGUCAAUCCCUCACUGUCGGAUUAUGCUGUCAAAAGUCAUCCAUCUACCUUUAGUAUUUCAGAGCAGAAACGGACACUGUGAGUCAGAGGCUUCCUCCGACUCGAUCUUUGUCACAGCAUUUUUGGGAAACAGAGGUAUCCAUUACAUUUUCUCGUCUGCUCCAUUUGCCCACAUCUCUUUCUAUUUUCAGUUCUGUUUUGAGUAGAAAGUUUGAUUGAUAAAGUAGAGACUUACAGCUGGAACAGAAAUGAAAGAUUUUUGAAUUUAACAAGGAUGAACCAUUAAAAAUGCAUAUUAUCUCAUUAUUCUUGCUGCCAAAUAACUGAAAAUGAUCUGCUCAAUAAGAUGGAAAAUGGAUUUUGCUUGUUUUCUCUCUCUGACCCGACAGAGGACACAUGAGGAGGAAAUAAGGGAGGGAGGAGACUGAUCGUUUAAAAAAAACUGCUCUAGUGCACUAAUGUCUGUGAAACCUGAGCUCAUAUUGGAUCUGAAGGACAACAUAAGACGAGCCUUCCCCGCUGCACUCCCUCUGUUUAAAGGGAUUGCUUUCAUUCAGGGAAGGAGAGGCAAAAAAGCCUUCCAGCAGAGCCCAGUCCAGCUCAGUUCUUCUUCCUGUGAGCCUGUCCCCUCGUCUCUGCCGCCAGGCCAGUUCACCGACCCUUCCUGCAGAGCGGCUGCCGGUUGCCAGGUAGUCCCGGCCGGACAGACGGUUUUCCUGGAGAUGAAGAGACGAGCUUGACAGUUCUGCGCUACACCUGCAAUCAUGCUUUGAGGUCUUGACCUUCCUAAAACAGAGGCACUCAAGCAUUCAGGAAGCUCAGGCAGCAAGAAUGAAGACACCCACAAAACGCUUCACCACACAGGAACAGGCUGGACCCACCUCCCUGUGUUCAUGGUUCCUGAACUGUAUCAUCCUGUGCUCUCUUGCAGGACCAAAUACUAGGAGUCAAUUAAAAUCACAUGAGAAUCUAAUUAGGGACCUCUUUGUGCAGCAGACCUGGAGGUAAAGUCAUUGGGGAGCAACUCUGCCAAGACCCUGACACUCGGAGAACACACUCUGUAAAUUAAUAGAGAAUGACCAAGAAGGAGCUCUGUGACUGACUUGGACCUCAGCUUCCUCGGAGGCAAAACGUUCAGGGCUGAUUGCUCUCAUUAAAUGUGUUAUAGCAGUGUAAUUAUAAUAUGUCUGGCAAACGGGAUGACUCUCAGUUUGUGGCUAGCUUGGACUGUUUGGAAAAGUUUAAUAUUCACGCGUGACGUUAAAAUGAGACCAGGAGGGAGAAAAAAUGUUCAGCUGACGUUUUCUAUUUUUUAUAUAUAUAUAUUUUUAACAUCCUUAUGUGAGCAAUAGUGAAGCAUUUUAAUCAGAUGUAAAAUGACUGAUCAUUUUGCUUUUAUCGUUUGAACUAAAGUAGAGUUGAACAGACUUUCAUGCUAUAAUUAGGCUGAUAAUAACAUUGGUUGAAUUAUUGCACUUUUGUUAUUCAAGUCUUUUCUGCACUGGUUGUCAGAUGAGAUAUUAGCGUGGACAUAUUUCUUAUUCUGGCAGCAGCACAGUGACUGAUAUCAUUUAAAUUACACCUCCUUGGGCAGAGUCUUCGGAAAUACUUUGUAGGUGGGAAUUUAUCACAAAAUGAUGUGAAGAAAAUGAGGAACAUCUUGAUAACAAUAGCAAAAAAGGCCUUUAUUUUGUAGAAAGGUGACUUAUUUUGUUUAGAGCAAACCGGUCACAACAAAGGUGUGACUUGAGUUAGCGCAAAAGUAAGCUCUACAAACACAAUCCAACAAAGAAGGUCAAAAAAUGACAUAUUUAUGAUUGUUUUUGUUCCACGUUUUAGAUACAGUCUUCAUCUACCAUAGUUAAUAAUCCAGAUGUAUACAAACAUUAAUUAAUUAGCUGCCAGGAGCAAUUAUUGCAUACUAUCUGCAAAUCUCAUCAUUGGCACCUCCCAAAUAUUUCAUUUUGCCAAAAAUGUAAAAGCCGAUGUUGGGGUUGAAUUACUGUACAACAAUACUAAACUCCAGACCUCCAGACAAUAACACAGUAUGACAUCUAAAGAUGUGAAAAUUCUGCUUCACUGGCAUAAUGUCUUUGAGCUCAUCAGCACACUUGCAACAUGUCACCUUUGUUGUAAUGGUCUAUCACUUGACCUGUUUGUCGUAGGUUUUUACAUGAAGGAAGUUAAUUGAAAUCACAGCCUCUUCUACUAUGUUUAAAACUGGCUGAUGGUUAGCUAUCUGAAUGUGCUUAUAUUUACACUGGCAGGUUCGUUCCGCACCUGGAUUCAUUUCCUUAAAUAUUUCAAAUGAUUUGUUCAGCAAGUGUGAAAGCUCACCUGGACUCCAGAACUGAAGUGCACAUCAAACAAGCAAACCUGGUACUCUUGAAAGCGCGAUUCUUGGUUAAAGACUGGGAGUGCAGAAGUGAACAAGAAGGCAGUAAAUGGCAGAGAGCCCAAUUAAUAACUUGUAGAGGUAAGGUGUAUGUAUGAAAGCAGACCAAACUAGAAAAAAGUAAGAAAGCUAUCAACAUCUGAGUCCUCUGUAGUAAGAUGAAAGCAAUCUAGAGAGCAGGAAGCAAGGCUUCUUUGAAUGUUUUCUCCUAACAUUAUACUAUAUUUUGUUAUUAAUAGAAGACAACCUAUAGCCUUGCAUGGAUAAAAUUUAAUUUGUUUUGAAUUGUUUCCCUCAGGGCUUAUCUGGUCUUUGGUAAAUCCUGAAGGAAAGAAUUGAUUUGGGAAUUUUUUAAACAAAGGUUUUACCGUUAGUUACAGUAUAUCAGGUUUAAACAUAAGCAAGAAGGCCCCCAGUUCAAGUCCUGGCUGGUGUACCUAAAACAGAACAUUAACCGGGAACCUUUCUGUGUGGAAUUUUCAUGUUCUCCCCAUGCGUGGGUUUUCUCCCACCGUCCAAAAAUAUGCUUCAUAGGUUCAAUGGUUACUCUAAAUUGUUCCUAGGUGUGAACGGGAGAGUGCAUGGAUGUGUGAUUUGUGGCCCUGCGACAGACUGGCGACCUGUUCAGGAUGUCCCCUGCCUUCGCCCACGAAUGGCAGGGGACAUCCUCCAGCAGCCUUGAGACCCCAAAAGAGACAAAACAGGUUUAGUAGAAGAAUGAAUGAUGGUUUAAAUAUUGGUAACAUGUGAAACCCUUGUCCACAUUCAAAGCAAUUCCAAGCUGUAAGCUGAAAAAAACUGUGUAACAAUGAAAAUUAGCCAGGAUCAAAGCAUGCAGUAGCUGCUUGAACUCCUGCUGCCUCUCACUCUCUGCCCUGCCUUCUGUCUCCCUCUGCAGUGACAGCUGUGGCCUUUGAGUUUGGUUUUGUUAUCACUUCAGCUUCACAUUUUCAAACGCAGGCCAUUACCGUAAUCUUUCUAGGUAUUCUGUCACAAUGACGGACAACUGCAAUGACACUCGUAGAGGUUGCAGGGUUGAUUUCUCAUAAUGCAAUACAGAGGAAUGUCAACAACACCCUUUAACUCCAUGGAAUUUAAAGCCAGGGGCUAAAAUUAUAUUUUUUUUAUGGCUCACAUUCUCAAGUAUUUUACAAUGAGAUGCUGCAGUGUAAACUAUGCUAUACGUUCUAACCUGACUAUAUUGCUGCAGUUGCAGAAGAAUGUUAGACCCACAUUCACUCUUGAUGGCAAAACAGUUCAUUGUAAAAUCUUGUUUCGAUAAUGCAUUGUGGACCACUGUAGGCCUGCACAGAUGAGCGGCUGCACUGGUGGCCAAAAGUGCAUCGUUUUCAUUCCCAACAAACCCAUUCUGCUCACCUUUGAAAUGCCACUAUAUUGUUUUCAUGCCUCAUGUAAGCACAGAGUUAUUCUACACAUUAAACUAACUUUAACUCCGCACCUAUGGACCACAUUUCCACAGCAUUAUUCAUAUAUAUCUUAAAUGAAUGUGUUAUAGGUUUACACAAGCCUACAAAAGAACAAGGGUUUACGUCUUAGUUGUUAACUAAUCCACGAUCAGUCUAUUGGCUAAUUUUUCCACUGCUAGCUAGUGAGUCUGACCCACAAUAAGUUCAAGUUUUCCAAGUGACCCUGAAUGGAUCUGUGAAACCUUAAUUUACCACUACAUUACAGGAAAACUUAAAUUUCAAAACGAACGGACAAAAAGAAACACGAGGCAACUUCAUACUAAAUCCACAACAUAUCAGACAUUUUACCACAGAGAAACCACAGCUUCCUAAAGUAUCCAAAAAUGAAUUACAUUGUAGAUUAUCAUGUAAUUAUGGAUCUUUCCAAAGACUGAUAGAGCUGGAAAAUUGAGUCCUGAAUAUUUCAUAAUGCAUACCAUCAUUGUGGGGGGAAAUUAUUUAGGGAUAGCAUGCUCAUUUGCAGAAUGGAUAAAGGUUCAUUGCAAGUCACCAGAGUGCUGUAAUUGGAAAGCUUCCGUGAUUCAAAGGCGUCAUUCAAAGAUGAGCACGUCUACUGGGUAACUGCACUCAGUACACCAUUAAUCCUCAAUCACACAACCAAAAACUAUCAGCAGCCGUCCAGACCUAUAAAGCAGCUGCCACAAUUCCUUACUUGUGUCAGUUAUAAAUCAUGCACAUGGAUGAGAUAAAAAUUAAGAUUUUUUUUGCAGAUGAGUCUUGGCAUCCUUCCUGCCCCUAUUAUAGUGAAAUGAGUUAAGAAUGUAAAUUAUUUACACAUACUGUACCUUUUAAUGAAGCACACUUGUACACAGUGUGCUACACUGUUCAUAUGUAUAAAUCUUCAUCAGACAAUUAUAAUACAUAUCAUGACACAACACAAAAACCACCUGGGAAAAACAAACAACUUAAGCCUGGAUAGAUUACUUACAGGAAUACUCUUACUGCGUUGCAUAAGUAUAAUUUUGUCGCCUGUAGGAAACAUAUGAAGAAACGCCAGAUUUGACAAAUGUAAUCUUUAAAAGGCAAAUCUAAAUGUCAGAGAGACAGAUACUUUACACAUAUAGAGCACUGCCUUCUGGGUGUAACAGAGAAAAGUGUGAGAGUGAUAUUUUUUCCUAGAGGAAAUGAGUUGCAAUUCCUUGUCGUCAUCAAGCAACACGCAGUGUGGAGAGAAGUGCAGAAACUGCUGGGACAGUAGUCAAAAAAACGAUGGACAGACAACAAAAUUAUGUUCUGAUUUUUGGAUUUAAAAAAAUAAAUUACUUGAUUUUAUAUUUUAUUUUAUUGCAAUCAAAUUUGCAUUAUAAGGGCUCCAAUUACCUUCUUCUUCUUUUCAUUUCAGCUUUUACCUUCAGGGGUCACCAGAGCAAAUCAGCUUCAUUCAUCUAACCCUGUCUUCUUCAUCCUCUACUACGACACCAGCCACCUUCAUGUAUUCCUUCAUUGCACCCAUAAACCUCCUCUUUGGUCUUCUUCUAACUAUCUUGCCUGGCAGCUCAAGAUUCAGCAUCCUUCUAUCAAUAUAUUCACUGUCUGUCCUCUGGACAUGCUCCAUUUAACUGUUUACAGUUAAUCUCUGUAGUUACAUGAACUCCUGCUUUCAUUGCACAGUAUUGUAGUUGAUGUAUGAAGUAUACAGAAAAAGUAAGCAUUUACCGGUAGGCAAACGUCUAUAAGGCAACAUUUAUUUUUCUUGUAAACUACGAACUAAUAUGUGGAUUCCAAAAAGUACUUUAAAUUAUUUAAGUUUCACAAGAAAUAAAGAACACGAUGGAGAAUGAUAUGUACUAUUAGAGUAAUAUUAAAUGACUACUUAUUGUUCCAGUCUUUCUAUUUUUGUUCUUUUAUUGGGAAGUUUUGUUCCCAUUUUGGUUGCUUGUUUUGUCUUGAUUGUGUACUACAGUGGUACUGUACAUCAAUAGUUUUCCAUGUAUUCUGUUUCUAUACCCACUUCUUUCCAGCUAAUCGUAAGGGUUGUUUCAGCAAAAUCCAACUUUGUUCUGAUAUUUUCGAAUUUUAAAACAUACCCCCUCCCCCGUGUGUGCUUAAAAAAGCUCAUUUAUGAAUGUAAACAAUGAACCAAAAAGCUAAAAAGCAGGCAUCUCAGUUUUUCCUUGGUAAAAAAUACACAUUCUGUUGCAUCAAGUUAAGACUGAAAAUGUGUCUUGUGCUUUAAAAUCUUUGUGAAAAGUAAAUACUCAUAAUGACUGUAAACCUUCUAUCACCAGCAUCCUGUAAAUGUUGUCCUUUAACACUUUUUGAGCAUUCUGCAAACCAUUUAGAAACAUGUACUUAAGAAAGAUGUUUGUUAUUUGUGAUGCGGUGAGGGCAUAACUAAGGAUAAACUUUUCUCCAAAGAAUAGAAACAGCAUGAUAUGGUUCACCAAAGAUACUUGACAUGAAAAUAUGUAUUGCUCGUUUACGUUGUAGUCUGUUUCUCUCUGUAUUGCCUUUGAUCACUGCUCUCAUCCAGAAGAUGGCGGAUAUCAAGUAAGAGAAACCAACUAAAGUGAUGUGUUUAGCUUUUGCCAUCAA
Non-coding RNA from Oryzias latipes (Japanese medaka), 8294 nucleotides. The record is from RefSeq and is a predicted model, not a curated record. Lineage: Eukaryota; Metazoa; Chordata; Actinopteri; Beloniformes; Adrianichthyidae.